AGUAAAAGUCGUAACAAGGUUUCCGUAGGUGAACCUGCGGAAGGAUCAUUAUCGUAUCGAACCGGGUGCGUCCGGGUCGGGCCCUGCACCGGCGGAGACGCCGUGCUGCGGGCCUCCCGGCGCGCCUUCCACACCAAACCCCUGUGCACCUCUUGGGAAGGCGUUCGGCGGAGACGUCGGGCGUCAGCCCCUAUUCUCACAAGCUCUGUCUCUUGUAUAGAAUGACCUGCGGACCUCGUCCGUCUAAAACAAAUAACAACUUUCAACAACGGAUCUCUUGGCUCUCGCAUCGAUGAAGAACGCAGCGAAAUGCGAUAAGCAAUGUGAAUUGCAGAAUUCAGUGAAUCAUCGAAUCUUUGAACGCACCUUGCGCCCUUUGGUAUUCCGAAGGGCAUGCCUGUUCGAGUGUCUUGAAUUCAUCGCGGCCCGAGGUUUUCUGAACCUCCCGGGUCCGCGGAAGUGGGGGCUUGCCGCCGCGAGGCGGCUCCCCUCAAAUGCAUCGGUGGGGUCUCCGGACAUCCCGGGCGUUGUACUGUCCUCGUCCGUACGUGGGUUCCGGCUUCAAGACCCCUCCUCGACCGAUUCCGCGCGAGCGGCGGUCACUGCGAAACGAAAUCUGACCUCGAAUCAGGUAGGACUACCCGCUGAACUUAAGCAUAUCAAUAAGCGGAGGA
RNAcentral lists this ribosomal RNA (674 nucleotides) under uncultured fungus. Its description in RNAcentral is "eukaryotic LSU rRNA". The stretch from base 258 to 411 matches the Rfam family "5.8S ribosomal RNA". Lineage: Eukaryota; Fungi. The record is from RNAcentral.